Molecule: ribosomal RNA, 497 nt
Filed under: uncultured bacterium
Lineage: Bacteria
Description: partial 16S ribosomal RNA
Rfam family: Bacterial small subunit ribosomal RNA
Source: RNAcentral
GAUGAACGCUGGCGGCGUGCCUAAUACAUGCAAGUCGAGCGAACAGACGAGGAGCUUGCUCCUCUGACGUUAGCGGCGGACGGGUGAGUAACACGUGGAUAACCUACCUAUAAGACUGGGAUAACUUCGGGAAACCGGAGCUAAUACCGGAUAAUAUAUUGAACCGCAUGGUUCAAUAGUGAAAUACGGUUUUGCUGUCACUUAUAGAUGGAUCCGCGCCGCAUUAGCUAGUUGGGAAGGUAACGGCUUACCAAGGCAACGAUGCGUAGACGAACUGAGAGGGUGAUCGGCCACACUGGAGCUGAGACACGGUCCAGACUCCUACGAGAGGCAGCAGUAGGGAAUCUUCCGCAAUGGGCGAAAGCCUGACGGAGCAACGCCGAGUGAGUGAUGAAGGUCUUCGGAUCGUAAAACUCUGUUAUUAGGGAAGAACAAAUGUGUAAGUAACUAUGCACGUCUUGACGGUACCUAAUCAGAAAGCCACGGCUAACUACGUG